This 376-nucleotide long non-coding RNA is filed under the name Lathyrus oleraceus (garden pea). RNAcentral describes it as "Pisum sativum (pea) long non-coding RNA (PSAT_LNC004256)". The record is from RNAcentral. Lineage: Eukaryota; Viridiplantae; Streptophyta; Magnoliopsida; Fabales; Fabaceae.
AUCCACCUCCAUCUUCCCAGGAUUAUCAUCAUCCACCUCCAUCUUCCCAAGAUUAUCAUCAUCCACCACCAUCCCAGGAUUAUCACCGUCCACCAUCUUCCCAAGAUUACCAUCCUCCACCACCUUCCCAAGAUUAUCAUUCUCCACCACCUUCCCAGGAGUACCAUCCUCCACCACCUUCCCAAGAUUAUCAACCUCCUCCACCUUCCCAAGAUUUCCAUCAUCCUCCACCUGCUAGAUCAGACAGUUCUUAUUCUGAGCCCUACAACCACCAGCAAUACUCACCAGAUCAGUCACAGAACUUAGGUCCUAAUUACCCUUCUCAUGAAACUCCCUCUUCUUACUCUCUUCCCCAUUUUCAAUCUUAUCCAAGUUU